UUAAUUUGAGAGUUUGAUCCUGGCUCAGGACGAACGCUGGCGGCGUGCCUAAUACAUGCAAGUCGAACGAACUCUGGUAUUGAUUGGUGCUUGCAUCAUGAUUUACAUUUGAGUGAGUGGCGAACUGGUGAGUAACACGUGGGAAACCUGCCCAGAAGCGGGGGAUAACACCUGGAAACAGAUGCUAAUACCGCAUAACAACUUGGACCGCAUGGUCCGAGCUUGAAAGAUGGCUUCGGCUAUCACUUUUGGAUGGUCCCGCGGCGUAUUAGCUAGAUGGUGGGGUAAUGGCUCACCAUGGCAAUGAUACGUAGCCGACCUGAGAGGGUAAUCGGCCACAUUGGGACUGAGACACGGCCCAAACUCCUACGGGAGGCAGCAGUAGGGAAUCUUCCACAAUGGACGAAAGUCUGAUGGAGCAACGCCGCGUGAGUGAAGAAGGGUUUCGGCUCGUAAAACUCUGUUGUUAAAGAAGAACAUAUCUGAGAGUAACUGUUCAGGUAUUGACGGUAUUUAACCAGAAAGCCACGGCUAACUACGUGCCAGCAGCCGCGGUAAUACGUAGGUGGCAAGCGUUGUCCGGAUUUAUUGGGCGUAAAGCGAGCGCAGGCGGUUUUUUAAGUCUGAUGUGAAAGCCUUCGGCUCAACCGAAGAAGUGCAUCGGAAACUGGGAAACUUGAGUGCAGAAGAGGACAGUGGAACUCCAUGUGUAGCGGUGAAAUGCGUAGAUAUAUGGAAGAACACCAGUGGCGAAGGCGGCUGUCUGGUCUGUAACUGACGCUGAGGCUCGAAAGUAUGGGUAGCAAACAGGAUUAGAUACCCUGGUAGUCCAUACCGUAAACGAUGAAUGCUAAGUGUUGGAGGGUUUCCGCCCUUCAGUGCUGCAGCUAACGCAUUAAGCAUUCCGCCUGGGGAGUACGGCCGCAAGGCUGAAACUCAAAGGAAUUGACGGGGGCCCGCACAAGCGGUGGAGCAUGUGGUUUAAUUCGAAGCUACGCGAAGAACCUUACCAGGUCUUGACAUACUAUGCAAAUCUAAGAGAUUAGACGUUCCCUUCGGGGACAUGGAUACAGGUGGUGCAUGGUUGUCGUCAGCUCGUGUCGUGAGAUGUUGGGUUAAGUCCCGCAACGAGCGCAACCCUUAUUAUCAGUUGCCAGCAUUAAGUUGGGCACUCUGGUGAGACUGCCGGUGACAAACCGGAGGAAGGUGGGGAUGACGUCAAAUCAUCAUGCCCCUUAUGACCUGGGCUACACACGUGCUACAAUGGAUGGUACAACGAGUUGCGAACUCGCGAGAGUAAGCUAAUCUCUUAAAGCCAUUCUCAGUUCGGAUUGUAGGCUGCAACUCGCCUACAUGAAGUCGGAAUCGCUAGUAAUCGCGGAUCAGCAUGCCGCGGUGAAUACGUUCCCGGGCCUUGUACACACCGCCCGUCACACCAUGAGAGUUUGUAACACCCAAAGUCGGUGGGGUAACCUUUUAGGAACCAGCCGCCUAAGGUGGGACAGAUGAUUAGGGUGAAGUCGUAACAAGGUAGCCGUAGGAGAACCUGCGGCUGGAUCACCUCCUUUCUAAGG
This 1574-nucleotide ribosomal RNA is filed under the name Lactiplantibacillus plantarum. Its description in RNAcentral is "Lactobacillus plantarum 16S ribosomal RNA". It matches the Rfam family "Bacterial small subunit ribosomal RNA". The record is from RNAcentral. Lineage: Bacteria; Bacillati; Bacillota; Bacilli; Lactobacillales; Lactobacillaceae.